UACAGAGGUCUCAAGCGUUGUUCGGAUUCAUUGGGCGUAAAGGGCGCGUAGGCGGCGGGGUAAGUCGGGUGUGAAAUCUCAGAGCUCAACUCUGAAACUGCACUCGAUACUGCUCUGCUUAGGACUGGAGAGGAGACUGGAAUUCACGGUGUAGCAGUGAAAUGCGUAGAUAUCGUGAGGAAGACCAGUGGCGAAGGCGGGUCUCUGGACAGUUCCUGACGCUGAGGCGCGAAGGCCAGGGGAGCAAAGCGGG
RNAcentral lists this ribosomal RNA (253 nucleotides) under uncultured bacterium. RNAcentral describes it as "partial 16S ribosomal RNA". It matches the Rfam family "Bacterial small subunit ribosomal RNA", at positions 524 to 777 of the family's 1533-position model. The record is from RNAcentral.